This 112-nucleotide ribosomal RNA is filed under the name Caerostris darwini. Lineage: Eukaryota; Metazoa; Arthropoda; Arachnida; Araneae; Araneidae. The record is from RNAcentral.
AACGGCCGUACCAUGCUGAAUAUACCGGUUCUCGUUAGAUCACCGAAGUCAAGCAUCAUUGGGCGUGGUCAAUACUUGGGUGGGUGACCACCUGGGAACACCGCGUGCCGUU